This 204-nucleotide long non-coding RNA is filed under the name Elaeis guineensis (African oil palm). RNAcentral describes it as "long non-coding RNA (EGUI_LNC047514)". Lineage: Eukaryota; Viridiplantae; Streptophyta; Magnoliopsida; Arecales; Arecaceae. The record is from RNAcentral.
CUGUCACCAACAUCCACUACAAGGACUCAUUAAAUCAAUGUUUAUAUGUAGUCAAGCUCCAGCAGCCUCACUGCAAGCAGUUGUAGCACCACAAGUCAAAGGACUAGUCAUACUACUGCAGCAUCGAGAAAAUCACUAACGAGUGAGUAGACAUCUAUGUGACUUCUCGUGUUGGUCAUGCUCAGUGCUAGUUAUUCUGUAACA